Molecule: ribosomal RNA, 118 nt
Filed under: Diaphorina citri (Asian citrus psyllid)
Lineage: Eukaryota; Metazoa; Arthropoda; Insecta; Hemiptera; Psyllidae
Source: RNAcentral
GCCAGUGGUGAUAGCACUUCGAAUGCACUGAUUCUCGAUGGAUCACUGAAGUUAAGUAGCGUUGCGCAUAGUUGGUAUCCGAAUGGGUGACUAUCUGGGCAAUCGCGCUCUGUCGGCU